UCGUACAUUGGCCAACCACAAUAUGGCAAUUCCUCCAGAAUGUCCUGUUGCAGCCAUCUCAAUCAUACCAUCAAAACUAAAAUUUUCUUUCACACUUUGGUGUGUUUGACAGCGUGUUUCCAAAAGAACAACUAACGCUGGCCUAUUAUAAACUCUAGGUAAAGUUAGAGAUAUACAAAAUCUCAACUCAAAAUAGGAAGACCAAUUUCAUUCAAGAUUAACAGAAACCAUAAAACUAAUCAAAACAAAAGGCUAGCAUUUUUAACAUCCAAUACAAAAAACUUAUUUUAUAUGUUUCACAUAUACAUGAACAUAGUCUGAAGCAGAUAGGCAUGUGUUCAACAGAGUUCAAGAUUUAUUGCUCCCAAGCUUCAAUCACCACUGUUUGAGGGAUUGUCUUAAAGGACGAUAACUGUUACAAAUUGUCUAAGCCUCAAACUUUCAAAACAAAGAGGGUCUAAUGAGUCCUAUCAAUAGCAAUGAUUGUCUCAAAUUAAAAUAAAUUAGAGAUAGACGACAACAGCAACAACAACAACCCAGUAUAAUCUCACUUAGUGGGGUCUAUGGAGGGUAGUAUGUACACAGACCUUACUCCCUACCCUUGGGCAGAGAGGUUGUUUCCAAAUAGACCCCCGGCAUCCUUCCCUCCAAGAACUUCCUACCUUGCUCUUGGGGAGACUCAAACUCGCAACCUCUCGGUUGGAAGUGAGGGUUGAAAUUAAAGAUAAGACAGUAAUCGUGUAAUAGAAGGAUUACCUCUUACAAGCAUAAAUCUCACAUUCUUGUGAGUUCUUCGGCCAAGAGUCAAAUUUAAUGUUUCGUCUAAUCUGAUCUCACGUCUAAGCCAAAAAUAAUCCCUUUACCUGCAACCAUCAAUCAACCAAGUCAACACACACACACAAAAAAUUAGAGAACAUUAAUCCAUUAAUUGCACCUCAAUCUUAACUCAACUAAUUAAAAUAAUAAUAUAAUUCAGGAAAUAGAAACAUUUUGAAUCUCAAUAUGUUAAUUACGGGCAAUAACAAGAACUACUUAGAAUUAAGUUAAAAUUAUGGCAAAAUAGUUCGUCCAAACCUUGAAUAAAAAUUGAAUUGCAGAACUCACAACAAAACGUAGCAAAAGUAACAUAAAAUAAAUGGUUAACUUAGAAAAAAGCCAAUCACGAUCAUCCAGAAAUGCUUAGGGCUGCUGGAAUUACCAAAAAUCAAACUAGAAAAAGACAUGCAUUGUAAAAAUAGGAAAUCCAAAAAAAAAACAUGAAACAUGAAAAAUAAUAAAAUCAAAAUGCAUUAAUUAAAAAAAAAAAUUAUCUGAUUGAAUUGAAGAAAGUCAAGUAAAGAAAGAAGAGUGAAAGAGGUAUAUAAAUGCAUAUAUUCCAAGCACACAAGAAAAUUUUUUAUUAAAUACAGUUUCAUUCCAGUAGGGCAAGCAGGGAAUAUGGAGAGUGCAAAUUAAAAUAAGGAAAAAAACUUACCACCACACAAGACAAGCUCGAACUAAAGCAGAAAAAUUUGAAAUCUAUGACCAGUUAGUGAGUCACGAAGGCCAUAAACAGAAUGUCGUCUGUGUGAGAGAGAAAAUAGAGCUCUGGAGUGUAUUCUAAAAUUAAU
This 1610-nucleotide long non-coding RNA is filed under the name Nicotiana benthamiana. Its description in RNAcentral is "long non-coding RNA (NBEN_LNC024742)". The record is from RNAcentral. Lineage: Eukaryota; Viridiplantae; Streptophyta; Magnoliopsida; Solanales; Solanaceae.